GUAACACGUAAACAACCUGCCUUCAGGAUGGGGACAACAGACGGAAACGACUGCUAAUACCGAAUAAGUUCCAAGAGCCGCAUGGCCCAUGGAAGAAAAGGUGGCCUCUACCUGUAAGCUAUCGCCUGAAGAGGGGUUUGCGUCUGAUUAGCUGGUUGGAGGGGUAACGGCCCACCAAGGCGACGAUCAGUAGCCGGUCUGAGAGGAUGAACGGCCACACUGGGACUGAGACACGGUCCAGACUCCUACGGGAGGCAGCAUG
This 262-nucleotide ribosomal RNA is filed under the name uncultured bacterium. Its description in RNAcentral is "partial 16S ribosomal RNA". It matches the Rfam family "Bacterial small subunit ribosomal RNA", at positions 110 to 353 of the family's 1533-position model. The record is from RNAcentral.